GAUGAACGCUGGCGGCGUGCUUAACACAUGCAAGUCGAACGGAAAGGCUCCUGCUUGCAGGGGUACUCGAGUGGCGAACGGGUGAGUAACACGUGGGUGAUCUGCCCUGCACUUCGGGAUAAGCCUUGGAAACUGGGGCUAAUACCGGAUAGGACGAUGGGUUGGAUGCCAUUGUGGAAAGAUUUUCGGUGUGGGAUGAGCUCGCGGCCUAUCAGCUUGUUGGUGGGGUAAUGGCCUACCAAGGCGUCGACGGGUAGCCGGCCUGAGAGGGUGUACGGCCUCAUUGGGACUGAGGUACGGCCCAGACUCCAACGGGAGGCAGCAGUGGGGAAUAUUGCACAAUGGGCGCAAGCCUGAUGCAGCGACGCCGCGUGGGGGAUGACGGCCUUCGGGUUGUAAACUACUUUCGCUAGAGACGAAGCGCAAGUGACGGUACCUGGAGAAGAAGCACCGGCUAACUACGUG
This 465-nucleotide ribosomal RNA is filed under the name uncultured bacterium. RNAcentral's name for it is "partial 16S ribosomal RNA". It matches the Rfam family "Bacterial small subunit ribosomal RNA", at positions 28 to 507 of the family's 1533-position model. The record is from RNAcentral.